UAGUAUUCAAAAUAUCGAAAC
This is a non-coding RNA of Caenorhabditis elegans, 21 nucleotides long. NCBI's taxonomy places the organism in Eukaryota, Metazoa, Nematoda, Chromadorea, Rhabditida, Rhabditidae. The record is from Ensembl.